AUGGAAUGUACAAGUCGUUAUGAAAUCAAAUGAGCCACCUCCAUCUUGUAAUUCCUGCUGCAAUCUCAGCGCGUAAAGGCUGAUACUUGGCGAAUCUCUUUUGUCUCGCGUAGACAUUUAUUAUUAAGUGUCAAAAUUAGCGCUAAUCAAUUCUCAGACGAAUCACAGCAUAAAGAAGAGAAACGAUUACAUAUGAUAUACGUCAUUUCAAAAGGGAGUCCGCGAG
Non-coding RNA from Momordica charantia (bitter melon), 226 nucleotides. Lineage: Eukaryota; Viridiplantae; Streptophyta; Magnoliopsida; Cucurbitales; Cucurbitaceae. The record is from RefSeq and is a predicted model, not a curated record.